This 426-nucleotide ribosomal RNA is filed under the name uncultured bacterium. RNAcentral describes it as "partial 16S ribosomal RNA". It matches the Rfam family "Bacterial small subunit ribosomal RNA", at positions 355 to 774 of the family's 1533-position model. The record is from RNAcentral.
UGGGGAAUAUUGCACAAUGGGCGCAAGCCUGAUGCAGCCAUGCCGCGUGUAUGAAGAAGGCCUUCGGGUUGUAAAGUACUUUCAGCGGGGAGGAAGGCGAUAAGGUUAAUAACCUUGUCGAUUGACGUUACCCGCAGAAGAAGCACCGGCUAACUCCGUGCCAGCAGCCGCGGUAAUACGGAGGGUGCAAGCGUUAAUCGGAAUUACUGGGCGUAAAGCGCACGCAGGCGGUCUGUCAAUUCGGAUGUGAAAUCCCGGGCUCAACCUGGGAACUGCAUUCGAAACUGGCAGGCUAGAGUCUUGUAGAGGGGGGUAGAAUUCCAGGUGUAGCGGUGAAAUGCGUAGAGAUCUGGAGGAAUACCGGUGGCGAAGGCGGCCCCCUGGACAAAGACUGACGCUCAGGUGCGAAAGCGUGGGGAGCAAACA